GGCAGGCAUGCAACAGAGACUUGGUCAGAUAUUCCUUGAGGGCACUGACCAGCCUCCUGCAUCCGUCCGUCAGCUUGGCCCAGCCACAGCUCUGUCUCUUCUUGGUGAGUGGCUCUGGGCACUUGCCCCUUCCCAUCACUGUGCCUAAUCCCUCUCCUGUACACGGUGGGGACCACUGGAGGAGCUCUGGAGACUCCCUCUUGUGAACAUUAGUGACUGCUUACUUACCAGGACUCCAAAAUGGUCCCCAGCUUGCUUCAGAGAGCUCACAGCCAAGAUGACAAGUGAGACCAUCAACCAUCAGUCCACUACCACCCUCAUAUCAUUGUUUUAUAUGUAUGAGAACCACCAUCAUCAUGGCAGUUACCUCCAAUUCAGCACCUUUUACAGAUCAUCACCAGCAGCUUCUCACUCAGCUGCCAUGCAUUGACUUCCCUGUUGAUCCAGCCUACUGCGGACCCAAAUAUUCCUGUUGCCAGAUAGGAGGGAUGAGUAAUGGAGACUCCAGUCCUCAGAGACCUUGAUCAAGUAAAGCAAAAACCCCUUCCUCCACUUUCUUUGCAAGUGGCUAAACCCUUAGUCACUCUGGGAAGAAAAGUAAACUGAAAACUUGAAAAAGUCCCAAGACAGAAUCUAACUCCAUCCCCUGCCCCAGAUAAAAAGCAAGAUAGCACAACUAUAGCAACCUUUUAAGUCAAAUUAAAUGAGCUAAUAAAAAUCAGGCCUGUUCAAGUGCCCAAUUGAUUUAAACAUGAAGAUUGUCAGUUUCCAGCAUCACUGAUUCUAAUCCAACAACCCUCACCAUAGAGGUCUUCAUUCAGCCUGCUGUGUUUGGAGGUUUUGCUUAUUGGGUGUGUAUCUGUAAGGUAAAUCUUGACGAUUUCCUUACUACAGACAAUUAUCUGGCUGGAGAUGUC
Molecule: long non-coding RNA, 917 nt
Filed under: Homo sapiens (human)
Lineage: Eukaryota; Metazoa; Chordata; Mammalia; Primates; Hominidae
Description: HSALNT0069572
Source: RNAcentral